GCCGGAGGAGCCGGCGGGGGUGGCGGGGCUGCUGGGCCGGGGUCGGGGCACCGUCAUCGCCCUUGGUCAGCGCCGCGCGCCAUAACCCGGUGCUGCGGGCCCGCCGCUCCGCACCGCCGGCACUGCCCGGGCCACGGUGCAGCGCUGGGGGCGGCGGCGGGGCCGCUCCUGCCGCUGACAGCAGCUCGAAUAAACGGAGCGGUCCUGACCAAACCCGAGCGUGCGGCAGGGGGAGCCUGCAGAGCCCCCGGGGGGCCGGGCGGGGGGGGUGCUGUGGAUGGUCUGUGGGCUCCGAGCCCGGUUUUUCUCCCCAGAGAUGGUCCCUGCGGAGCCCGGCUGCGCCCCGUAGGGCUGGAGCCCUUCCCUGCGGUGACCUGUGCUGGUGCCAGGGCGUGGGAACAGAGCGUGGACCUUGUUUUGCGUCACGAAACUGACCAGGGAGAGGAAGGCGAAGGCAGCUGGAAGACGGAGCUCUUUGCACCAUCCCUGGGUUUUACUGUCACAGUGUCCCACGAUGGCUGCUGCCCCACGAGCCCCGCUCGCCAGGGAGGGUGUCUUGGUGCUCCCUGGAAGGCUUGGGGUCCAGCUGUGUCCUGGAAGAACCCUGAGCCUGGCUAGUGGUGCUGCAAGCCCAAGGUGGCUGCUUUGAUGCUCUGGGGGGACACGUUUCCAGCACCAGCCCCACCAGCCCUGUCCCUACAUGUGCCAGUGCCUGGCAGGAUUUGCGUGGCUGGACCUUGCUGAACUUCACAUCCAACUGGUGCCCUCCACAGUGUCCUCCACCAUUCUCCUCUCCAGGCACAGGCACAAGAAACCAGCUUGUUGAAGACUCUAAUCUUCCCAGCAGAUGGUCUCCAUCACAAGGUGACCCCCUGGCUCCAUGAGGGCACUGAUGCUCCUCAGGACACUGCAGAAGGUGGCCAGGUCCUGGCUGGUGGCCUCCAGAGAGUGGGUGGGGAGGACACAGGUGGCAGGGACGUGGGAUCCAUGGGGUGGUUUUGGUCACGUUGCACUUCAGAACCUGUCUCACACUCUUUCUCAGCCCAUUUCCCCUAAACAAGUAAAUAAACAGAUAGACAGAG
This is a long non-coding RNA of Apus apus (common swift), 1082 nucleotides long. RefSeq lists it as uncharacterized. The record is from RefSeq and is a predicted model, not a curated record. The transcript has 3 exons. NCBI's taxonomy places the organism in Eukaryota, Metazoa, Chordata, Aves, Apodiformes, Apodidae.